Molecule: ribosomal RNA, 254 nt
Filed under: uncultured bacterium
Lineage: Bacteria
Description: partial 16S ribosomal RNA
Rfam family: Bacterial small subunit ribosomal RNA
Source: RNAcentral
UACGUAGGGCGCAAGCGUUGUCCGGAAUUAUUGGGCGUAAAGAGCUCGUAGGCGGCUCAGUAAGUCGGGUGUGAAACCUCCAGGCUCAACCUGGAGACGCCACCCGAUACUGCUGUGGCUAGAGUCCAGUAGGGGAGUGUGGAAUUCCCGGUGUAGCGGUGAAAUGCGCAGAUAUCGGGAGGAACACCAGCGGCGAAGGCGGCACUCUGGGCUGGUACUGACGCUGAGGAGCGAAAGCGUGGGUAGCAAACAGG